RNAcentral lists this ribosomal RNA (254 nucleotides) under uncultured bacterium. Its description in RNAcentral is "partial 16S ribosomal RNA". It matches the Rfam family "Bacterial small subunit ribosomal RNA", at positions 524 to 776 of the family's 1533-position model. The record is from RNAcentral.
UACAGAGGGUGCGAGCGUUAAUCGGAAUUACUGGGCGUAAAGCGUGCGUAGACGGUAGCGUAAGUCAGAUGUGAAAGCCCCGGGCUCAACCUGGGAACUGCAUUUGAGACUGCUCUGCUCGGGUGCGGAAGAGGGAAGCGGAAUUUCCGGUGUAGCGGUGAAAUGCGUAGAUAUCGGAAGGAACACCAGUGGCGAAAAGCGGCUUCCUGGUCCGACACCGACGUUCAGGCACGAAAGCGUGGGGAGCAAACAGG